ACGGCGCGACGUUUCUUCUCCUCCAGCCGUACCUCCGCCCUUAAAAUGGAGAAGGUCAAAGUGUGAAUGGGAGGGGGGAGGAGAAAAAGCUAGGGUAAAAGACUCCUACCCAAGGGUAGCCUGACCGCUACCCGGCCAUGACACUGCAUUGGGUCCAGGUGGAAAGGAGGUUGGGUGCGCAAGCGCAUGCGCCAGGCAGCUGGCGCGCUCCUCCUCCGGGAGGGGGGAAAUGGUGAGGGAGUCGUGAGGAGAGAAUGGGAGGAGAAAGAGAAGAAACCGAGGGUAGGAAGAGAGAAGAAAGUCGAGGAGGGCAGAGGGCUAAGGUGCAGAGCAGGGAGAAUGGAGAGAGAAGAAUCGGGCAGAGGAGAGAAGAAAAUCGACGAGGGUAGGGAGGAAGUGAAGAAGGGAGAGGAACGUGAGAAGCAAGAAGACAGGGCGGGGGCGGCAGAGGAAAAGGAGAGAAAAGUGGAGAAGGGAGAGAAAAAAGACCUAGAAUGGGAAAGGAGAGAAAAAAAAUAGAGGGAGGAGAGAAGAAAGUGAAGAAAAAGGGAUUGUUUUAUUUUGUUCUCUUCUCUUCCUUUGAACUAUGGAGCCUUUGAUUUUCAGACCCCCAUACUUGCUGAGACCAAUGAGAGUGGAAAGGGCUAAAUAACUCAGUCAAGUGUAUUCAGCAAAAUCUAAAAAUGGCCCUAGGAGAGCUUUUAAAACACAGCCAUCUGAAAAAUCUGAGACCUUAGGAUGGAUUACUUCUGUGCCUACUGGGAGAGAGUUGGCAGUGUUUAACAUUUUUUCUUUCUUUCCUUUUUUCCUUUUUUAAUUUCAUGCAUUUCCUGGGAAUGUAAUAUAUAAACACACUUAUGGGCAACAAUAUAGGAUGAGAAACAAGCAUCAUAAAAUAUACAGAGGCUUUUUUUUGUGGAGCGUUAUAUAGCUACUGCUUGGGGGUAUGUUAUAUGAAAGGGAAAUUUUAUACACUAUCAAUAUUUUAUUAUUCAUUUUAGGACAAAAAUGUAUCAAGCACUUUUCUGUGUUCAAAUCAUUCUGCUGGUGCUAGGAGAGAUACAUAGAUGUAUUUUACACCUUAAGUUAUAGUUUAUAUUGUACAUAGAAUAAGGAAAUGUGAAACUUAGGUUUGAGAUCCUUGUAUUGCUUAUGUGAUCUGUUUUGUAGCAUCUUCAGUGACAUGAGGACCUGGGCGCAAUUUUGGUUGUUGCAAAAAUCUCUUUUACUUGUUUCUCUGCAUCCAGGGAAGUCCUACAAACUAUAUUGACUUGAAUUUAGAUGUUAGGGCAUUUGUAGCAUAUGUUUAAAUAUUGACACUGGUUUGUUGUCUAUGAUUUCUUUCAAGAUAAUAUAAUUUCCUUGUUUAAGUGAAUUUUUGUUUCUGCUUUCUCUGAUAGUAUGAUUAUAAUAGUUGUUUUUUUAGAUUUCCCUGAUGUUUCAGCCUCUCACUUUUAUGUUAGAAGUGACUUUGGUUUUUUAGGUCUUUUUCUUUUAAGUAGUAGUUUAUAGGAUUUUGCUUUCUUACUUAAUCCUUCACUUUUGUUUUACUUGAUUCUUUAAUCUCACAUUUAAAGUUAGGAAAUUUAGUUUAUAUUUUCCCUUCUUUGUGUUUCUAGCAUUGCUUUUUAUUCUGAAUUAAUAUUUUUUGUUCUCUUAAUCCUUUAAGAUAUUUUGUCUUCAGUCCUUUUAUUUAAUCUACCUUUAUGUUAUCCUCCCAACCCCCAGAAGAAAAUAAAGAUUAAGAAAAACUCUUUGAUCCAGAACUCUUUCAGCUAGACAUAGAUUCCCAAAGAGGUCAAAGAAAAACCUAAUAUACAUCAAAAAUUACUUUUGGUAGUAGCAAAUAAAUAGAUGCUUAUUUAAUAGGGAAUAGUUAAACUUGUGAUGGAAUAUUAUCGUGCCAUAAGAAACAUUGACUGUGAAGACAUUUAAUAAUAAUGUAUAUAUAGUGAAUGAUAUAGAUAACUGAUGACAAGUACAGCAGAACCAGGAAAAUAAUAUCUACAGGAACUUCAAAAUGUAAAUAGAAGGAAUAGCAAUAGCAAUAUUAAAAUUUAAUGUAAUAUAAUUUUAAUGAUCAAACUUGACUCAGAAAAAGAUGUGAAUGUACCGUUUCUUUACAAAGGAGGCCAAUUAUGGAUAUGAAACUUUAAAUGCACUAUAAAACUUAAUUAAUAUGUUUGUUAGUUUUUACCCCUUUCUCCCCACUCUUCUCUUUUGUUAUAUGGGAUAGUUCUUUUUAGUAGGGGAGGGGAAGGGAUAUAUUGGGAAUGAAAGUGAUAUAAAAACAAAUAAUAUCAAUAAAUAUUUAAAAGAAAUUGAGAGAGGAGAUGAUCACAGGAUAAGCUCUUAAGGGAGGUAGUUUAAUAUUUCAAUCUUCUGUACUUUCUCCCACCUGUGUCUUCAACUUGCUCUGGGUCUGUGCAGCUAUUGAUCUCUCUUUGUAUCUUCAUUGUGUCUUUUCUCUAAGAUCCUGAAGUCUCUGCUAUAAUAAAACUAUUUUUACUUCAGAGGGUUGUUGUGAAAAAAAUUUUUUUUAUACAUUUUGUGACAUUAUAUAAAUGAGUUAUUUUUUUAUUAUUACUUCUCACUUUGAUGGAUUUUUGUCCUCAUCAGUGCUGGUACUCUAGAAUGGCACAGAUCAUAAUCUGUCCAUACCUUCUUAGCUUAUAUGACAUGCUAAAGCCUUCUUCAAGAUUUUUGAACAUUGUAUGAAUUCUAGUCAAGCACAUGGACAAUUCUUUGGAUAUCCCUCAUUGUUGCUGCAUAACUAGGCAAACUUAUUUUCCUAGUGCUUUAUCAGCCCAUCAGCUCUCAUAUUCUAGCAGAAUACCAGUCUAACCUACAACUUAGUAUUUUCCCUAAUGAUGUACAAUCUUUGUUGGCACCUUCUAUCCCUGAUCUUUCCACAUCAUUAUGUGGCAAGAAGUGGCAGAUUGUAACUGCUCUCUUUUCCCUCAUUUUCAGAAAAGGUGAUGUAUACAAUGAUAGCUAAAUGACUGCAAAUGUUUCUAGAUACAUAUUAGAGAAAAAGAAUGUAGAAGAUAGAGAAUGCGUGAUGUACCCUAAUUAAGUCAGUGGUAAACAGUGAAAAGAAAAUAAAAGCCUGGCUUGAGGAAAAGUAAGGAAGUAAAGCAAAGGAUUGAAAUGAGUCAAUGGAUUGCAUAAAGUUGAAUAAACACAGAGACAAUGUAAUAGUUAAAAUUAAAUUAUGAGGUUGAUAGUAGCUUUAGUAGCUUUAUUACAUGAAAGUAGUGAUAGUAAAGAGAGGGAAAUAUAGGAAAGAGGUAGAGAGUAGCUUAGCUUACUAUCCUAUUUAGUAUUUGAUGAAUUGAAGUUUACCACCAACAGGGUUCCUUCAGGUUCCAAGCUCUAGCUAGAAGAGAUAGAGCAGACUCCUGGUCUCACCUUAUAAGUAGUUUUCUCCACCCCCCCAUCACAUCUCAGGAACCAAUCAUACAUAGUUCUUUAAUUUGCAGGGGGAGGAGGGGCAGUGCCUGUGGGCUUAGUUUCCUGUCUGGGUUUCAACUUCUUUUCCCUGAGGGUUUGUCUAUACCUGCACAUCUCAAUGGUAAAUGACCUCCAGGUCACUGAUUGAUGACAUCAAACAAAGUGACAUAAUGGGGAGGGAAAUUCCCUUCCCAUAAGAAUAUUAUCCUAAAAGAGAAUAAAAACUAAUUCCUAAUUCAGAAUAAAGCAACACUAGAAACACAAAUAGAGCAAGAUAUAAACUAAAUAUCUUAACUUUAAAGACAUUCUAACAAAAAUGAGAGGCUGAAACACCUAUGUAUCAGGGAAAUUUUAAAAAACCUGGAUAUUAUACACACACACACACACACACAUACACACAUAUAUAUAUAUAUUGCAUGAUUAUGAUGUCAGAUAAAGCAAAACCAAAAAUUUACAACAUAAUUACAGAUAAACAAGGAAAUUAUAUUAUCCUGAGACCAUAGAUGACAAGCAAUAUCAAUAUUUAAACAUGUUAUAAAUGCUCUAACAUCUAAAUUCAUAAAGGAAAAAUUAACAGAAUUACAAGAAGAUUGAGACAGUAUAGGAAUAGUAAGAGAUUUUAAUAUCUUUCUUUUAAAUCUGGACAAAUAUAACAGAUAAGAGAAAAAUAUUGAAUUUAACAAAUUUUGGGGGGGAAAUAGAGCUAAAAGAUUUAUGAUGUCUUCUGAAUGGGACUUCUAAAGAAUAUACAUAGAUAUUUAUACAUAUGUAAAAAAGAAUAUAACUGUAUUUUUUAAAACAAAAAUUGAUCUUGUAUUAGGCCACAGGAAUUUUGCAAAUAAAUAUAAAAAGGCAGAAGUAUUAAAUAUCCUUUGUAGAUUUUAAUACAGUAAAAAUAGUAUUUUAAUCCAGGGACCACAAACAAAACAGACCCAAAUGGAGACUUAAUAAUUAGAUUUUAAAUAACAAAUGGACCAAAAAACAAAUAAUGGAAAUGACAAUUGUGUGAAAGACUAUGACAAUGGUAAAAUGAUUUCUUAAAAUUUCUGGGAUGCAGCUAAUGGAGUCAAUGGGGGGAAAAUUAUAUUGAUGUAUUAUUAUUAUUUUUCUUUUUGGUUAAUGUAUCCCAAAAUCAUGUUACUGAUUUUUGGCUGCCAUACCAUACACAAUAAUGCUCAGUUCUUUGGACCCCUUCCUACUUGACUCAGCUUAUUUUCAGUUGCACAGUGGUUGGUAAAGAAUGUAGAUGGUGUUAAGAAUUGUUUCUCUACUCCAUAUAAACAUUAAUUGUUUUUUGUUAUUCCAAAUGACAGAUCAAGAAGUCAAAUGUGCUACUAGAAGAAGAAAAACUGAAUUUUUAUAUUGAUAUUGCUAUAAAUGAAAUCAUAAGAUAUGGAGAUGGCUUGCAGAGUCUUCUUAGAGAGACAAAGGACUUGCGAAGUUUGUUUCUUUAGUUCUUGUAAGGGCAAUAAGAAAUAUCCUCUCAUGCUAGUGCUUGCUCCUCCUUCCUUACAUCAGGCAUGAUUUGCACAUACUCAAGGAAUAUCAUGAGCAUGAUUGCGUAACUACAAUAUAUGUAGCAACAGCUGUUAUAGAAAAUGAAUGAAUUCCUCCAAACCAAGUCAAUACAUACAUUGAUACUUAGUGACCUCAGUGGAAAGGUGGGUUCAGGGGAGUACAGUGGUAAGUAUAUUGGAAAAUUUGGGUCAGAAUUAAAAAAUAGAAGAAGCCAUUGAGUUAUAAGCUAUUCAGAAGUCUCAUACCUAUAUAUCAUGAAUAUGUUUGUCAAGGGGAGAUAUGGAAGGCUCUGGAAGUAUUGAAGUAUUAUAUAGUAUUGAAGGAAUGAAAUUAAUAUAUCUUAACAAAUAGGAAAAGACUAGUUCCUGAUGUAGGAGUCAUUUUAGAAUCAGCUGUCUAUAGUCAGACUAUAAGAAUAAUUAGAUCAGAAGUCAAACUCUACUACAAAUCAGAAGAAACUAUAUAGGUAAAGAAUGGACACUACAUAUAACUCUACCUCCAAUGUGACCUAUCAAAAUAAGCUGUUGAUCUUGAAAAAUGGGACGGACAAACUUAGAUUUAUAUGACAGAAGAAAUUUCUGCUAUAAGUGACACAGGUUUUAAAACAUUGAUUGAUUUUUUUUUUAAAGAUAUUUUAAAGAGACGAAGAUACCGAACACUGGAAAAUCAGAGACAAUAUUAUUUACCCAGAAAGCUUAUUGAGAAGACAUCAGCAACUAAUGAUCCAUAUGCAUACUUUCUUAUCUCUAAUUCCGAGAAUUUCUAAAACAUGUGUCAAGAUAUCUAAACUAUGUGAAUAGGAUAAUUGGACUUUCAUAAAUAAUGUUUUAUUACAGAUCAGAAUUUCAGCCAAACAAUUGUAUAAGAUUUGUUCAUUUUAAAUGAGGAACAAAAGAUGUGUGUUCACCUAAAGUGUUCACUACUAUUAUAGGAUAUGUUUUUUAUAGAGAACAAAUGCAGGAAGCAUUCUUUAUAUAUUAGGAGGUAGCCCAAGUGUUCUUGUUUAUUCAUGGCAUACUGAUUACAUCAGACCCUAGAACCUCUAAAGUGAGGACUUGUAGAAUGUCUUUUGCCCAGAUCGUGACUUUCAGUAGGUUAAUUUGUCGAUAGAUUUAUCUUGGAAAAUUAUUGCAAAUGGAUAGUAGACUAUGUCUAGGAUUGACCAAAAUGUGUUUCAAUGUCAAUAACUAUAAACUACUCUCUGACACACAAGUUAUUUUUAAACACUAAUAUACACCCAGGGAUGCUGCACAGCUUUGAAUGAUGGAUUAUCUAUUUCUUCUAGGAUCAAAUACAAAUUUCUCUGUAUAGCAUUUAAAACUUUUCACAAUAUGGUGUAAAAGUUAAAAUUAAUGUACAAUAAUAAAAAUAUUAUAUUUUAGGAGAUUUAUUAAAUGAUCAUUAGAAAUAAAGGAAUAAAAGGGAUAAAAAAUAAAAAAACAAAAACAAAGACACAUGUCCAUGGCUAAUCAGCCAGUUCAAAACCCCCACGCUUACCAUCCUUGCCAGGAAGCCAAAGAGGCCAGAGCCCGAACACCCACUGAAUUUAUCCCCUGUCUACAGGAAGUAUAAAAUGACAAGAAGUCAGUGGGCUCCCAGGAAAUGUAGUUUCUUUUUAAGGUAACAUAUUUUCAAUUAUACAAUGGUCCCCUUUCCUGUUAUGCAUAUUCUCUCUUCCAUAUGCUUGUAGUGCCUGGAAUUUUAACUAAUAAAGAAUGAGGCCAUUUUCCCAAGAAUAAUAUCUUUUAUUCAUAUGGCAUGAGGUCUGUUAAAAAAGCAUGGCUCUUUUGCCCAUCUCUUCCUUAAGCAAAAUAUCUGCCAUGAGCUCUGACAGUUGCUUUUAUAAGAAGGUAUGUCCUCUUUCUGAUAGGCCUGACAGUUCAUCCCUUGGACCUCCUUGUAGCAGGUGGACUUAGAGAUCUCAACUCCUCUUCCAUUACUUUAUCACAGGGGAGGUGAGUCUUUACCCAAAUAAGGAAAACACCAGUUGUACCCUGCUUUAGAAUGCCUUAGUGAGGGUUGUGUUUUUUGAAGAUAAAGGCUUUGAAUAAAUAACAGAAGGUCCCAGACCAAUUUAGAUGCCUUGGGCCUGAACUAUUUCUGCCUUAUCUUGUAAGGCCAAUGGACUUGGAAAAGUAAAUGAUUUCCCACAGGAAUAUUACGAAUAAAUUAUUACAAUUCAAUAUUAACUUAUUCAUUCUUCCCUCUAAUUCAUUGGAAGAUAGUCAAUCCAACGAAUCACAAUAGUUGAGAUAUUUAUAAAUUUCAGAAUUGACUCACCAGGAUAAUAAAAGGAAGGGAAGGUAUUAUAUAUUUAGUAAAGGGUUUUAUUAUGAAACUUGGGUGUUUCUUAGCAUGAUGUUAAAAAGUGAUUAAUAGACCCAUUGAUAGAGAGCCAUUAAGGGGGAAUUCCCCUUCUGGGCUAAGGGUCUUACAAAUAACUUAAAAAAUGUAUUCAUAGGGAAGAGAUGAAGGGGAUGGGUAACUCAGUGCUCACUGCUCAGUCCAUUAUAUCCAAAGACUCAGUCUCAUAAUGUAGCUGUCUCAUUUCUGAGGACAUAUUCUGUUGCUUUCAUCUCCUUAGGCCUUCUGGAAUCAUGCUGGCUCUCAGAGCAGUUUGACUGGAACUCAAUUUAGAAACUGCCAAUAACUGACUGAAAGGAGAAUUUAAAAGAAUCUAUAGGAACUGGAAAGACCUCCAUGAACUGAUGCAAAGUGAAAUGAGCAGAACCUGGAAAACAUUGUACACAGAGACUGAUACAUUGUGGAAUGAUCAAAUGUAACUGACUUUGCUACUAAAAGCAAUGUAAUGAUCCAGGCCAAUUCUGAGGGAUCAAUGAGAAAGAAUGCUAUCCACCUCUAGAGAAAGAACUCUGGGAGCAGAAAUCUGCAAGAAAACAUAUGAUUUAUCACUUGUUUGUAUGAGCAUAUGAUUUGGAGUUUUGGUUUUAAAAUAUUACUCUAUUACAAAAAUAAAUAAUAUGGAAAUAGGAUUUGAGUGAUAAUAUAUGUAUAACCCAAAGAAAUUGCUUGUCAGCUCUGGGAAUGGGGAGGGAGACAACAAGAAUCCUGUAACCAUGGAAAAUUUUUUUUAAAAAAUCUAUAGGGCCAGCAGGGUGGCUCAUUGGAUACACAAUCAGACCUGGAAAUGGGGAUUCUGAGUUCAAAUCUGGUUUCAAGACACCUCAUACCUAUGUGAAUCUGGGCAAAUCACUUAACCUGAUCCUUAGGAUAGAGUCUAAGACUGAAAAUAAGGUGUUUUUUUUGUUGGUGUUUUUUUUUAAGAAUCUUUGAAGAUCUAAUGUUUAGAUUCAAUGUUUUUAGUUUAAAAAUGUUAUAUAUACCUGAUUUUUACAACUUUGUACUAGAAUAUGCUCAAUGCCUUUGUAUCUCAUUAGAAACAAUUAUAUUUGACAUAUAUAUUUUGUCUUUUUAAAAACAAAACCAAAAAUCUUUCACUCCAGUUAUUUACUCUAGUUUCAUUUUUAGCUACGUUCUUCCCUCAGGAGGAUGACUGCUGUUUUAAUGAAAAUUAUCACCCUUUAAAGAUUGUUAUAAUAAUAAAACUAUGGCCGCCAAGGAAUUUACUUAUGAAAUUCCUAAAAUGAAACACUCAAGUCAGAAUGGAAUUUAUGGUGGUUUAAUCACAAUGGGAGUAAGAGAAGGGAGAGGGAGAGAAAGAGAGAGGAGAAAAGGGAAAGGGGUUACUCAACCUCUGGCCAAGCCAGAGGGAGAUUAGCCCCAAAGGGCCAAGGUAGAAAAGAAUCAGUCCUUGACUCACGUGACCGAUCUGAAGGGAAGCUGUCUGUGGGCUCAAGCUUCUAGCACCAACUGUCUUCUAGCCCUGUCCACAGGAAGUGCGCAAAUUCCAGAGGCUCCUUUCUCUGUCACUUCCUGUGCCUCACAAGUGCCAAUGGUGGCUCAAGCUUGGCUUAGGUCAGCCCAGGUGGGCAGUUAGUUAUUUCUGAUUUGUCAUUGACUAGCACAUGCCCAUGUAGUGUGGGUGUGCACAAUUUUGGGUGCUAGACCAAGCAAGAUGGAGAUUUUAAAAAUUCACAAUCCCCCCUGAUGAUGAUUGGGGGACUAGUCUCCCCAACUGAUCACUAACAUAAGCGUACUGCACCCCGAAAAAUUCUAACUGUAAGUGUAUACAAAAUUUUGCCCUCUAAGAAGAAAACUAUAAUAGUUGUAGGUUAGGGGAAAUAGAGGAGAAAGACAACAAACCAAUGUUUUGCUGGGCGCAUUGACAAAAGCCAAUUAGGGGGCAGUCCCCUUGGCAUAAGAGUGUACAUUCAAAAAAAGAAAAUGUUCAAUCAACCGCCCCCCAAGGUUCAUUCUGGAUCUUUCUGCAGUGAAAAGGUUUAGAUUUCUUUCUGCAAACAGUUCAUUCUCUGGAUUCAGUUAGUUAGCAAGCUUCUUCUCUGAAGAUGUAUCUUGAACAAAAUUUAAAUCUUGGAUUUUAUGAAAUACACUGCUAAGGAUCUAAUCCUAUAUAUGAGUACAUAACUAGCACUUUUUGCAAAAAGGUUGCUUCUAUGAAUAAGUUUGAUAGCCAUAUAGAUGAAUUUACCCAAAAGGUGCUUAUCUUCUUAUUGUGAAAACUGACUUGAGAUAGUAUAUGUAAAAAGGAUAGGCAAAGUAUUCCACAUUGUAUCAAAUAAGUUAUAUAUAAUAUAAGGAAUGAAAUUCUUUGGAGGUUAUAUAUAUAUAUAUAUAUAUAUAUAAUUUUAAGAUAUUAAUUAAAUAAGCAGAACCAGGAAAACAAUAAUAUAAUGAUUCACAACAAUUCUGAGAGACUUAUGAAAAAGAAUGCUGUCCUCUUCCAGAAUAAGAACUAUUGAAGUAAGAAUGCAAUUGAAAGUAUAUGGUCUAUCACUUGUUUAUCUGGGUAUAUGUUUUAGAGUUUUGGUUUUAUAAGAUGAUUAACUUAUAAAAAUAAAUAAUAUGGGAACAUGUUUUGCAUGAAAAAACACAUAUAAUACAAAUUGAAUUGCUUGCCAGCUUUGGGAGGGGAGAAGGAAUAUGUAAAGGAGACAAUUUGGACUAUAUAACUUUGGAAAACUCAUGUGAAAUUUAAUUAUUAAAAUUGUGUGAGACAGAGUUGAAUGUGCUAUUCUCCAAAUAAGUAUUUAGUUAUAAAUGCUAAUUUGUUACCUUUUUGUUGGUUGACUCUGGGACAGGCUUGGGAGGGAGACUGAUGAAUGCCAGAGGGAGCAAUGAACAGCUGUUAUUUCCUUUGUGCCUCACCUCAAUUGGGUUCCAAGCACAGGUGUUUUGAUUUGUAGACCAAAGCCUGGUUGGGGAGGUGGGGAGGAGCCUUGUGUGUAUAUUGACUGUUGCCUAGUCAGUUGGCACUUCUUAGCCCAUUCUUGGAGUGCUUUCUUUCAUUAAGGGGAAUAAAUAACUGCCUCUUUUUACUCCUA
Monodelphis domestica (gray short-tailed opossum) is the source of this 10394-nucleotide long non-coding RNA. RefSeq lists it as uncharacterized. NCBI's taxonomy places the organism in Eukaryota, Metazoa, Chordata, Mammalia, Didelphimorphia, Didelphidae. The record is from RefSeq and is a predicted model, not a curated record.